Cavia aperea (Brazilian guinea pig) is the source of this 141-nucleotide small nucleolar RNA. NCBI's taxonomy places the organism in Eukaryota, Metazoa, Chordata, Mammalia, Rodentia, Caviidae. The record is from Ensembl.
CUGGCCCUGAAUGAAGGCCAACAACUUCCUGAUGCUGUUGGUAUCAAGCAGGAACCUAAAGAGAUGUCUUUCUACGUAUGGUCUGUUGGCCAUUUCAGAAUGUGGGCAGUGAAAUGGUCAAUUCAUUAGAAAGAAACAGCU